UACGUAGGGGGCGAGCGUUGUCCGGAUUUAUUGGGCGUAAAGAGCUCGUAGGCGGUUCGAUAAGUCGGACGUGAAAUCUCCACGCUCAACGUGGAGGGGCCGUUCGAUACUGUCGUGACUCGAGUCCGGUAGGGGAGUGUGGAAUUCCCGGUGUAGCGGUGAAGUGCGCAGAGAUCGGGAGGAACACCCGUAGCGAAGGCGGCACUCUGGGCCGGUACUGACGCUGAGGAGCGAAAGCGUGGGGAGCAAACAGG
This 254-nucleotide ribosomal RNA is filed under the name uncultured bacterium. RNAcentral's name for it is "partial 16S ribosomal RNA". It matches the Rfam family "Bacterial small subunit ribosomal RNA", at positions 524 to 776 of the family's 1533-position model. The record is from RNAcentral.